CUCCCUCUGCCAGCAGAGGAAGAGGUUGACUUGGAGCCAAGAGAAAUUAAUUGUUCUCCGCUCAUUGCCCAAGCUGAGUGAAGCACUGAAAAUAAACGAAUAGCAUAUGUGCCUGCUCGGGUUUACCAUUUUACAUCCCAGGUUGCGCUAUUUCAGUGGCGGAUUCUUAGGGGUGGUUUCAACCUCAGCACCCUCUGGAAGAGGCAGGUACCCAGCUCUCCUUGCUGUGCAGAUCCAGGCAAACACGGGAUGUGUUUGAGCACCGCUCAGGCUCAUGCACCAUGCUGGGUAUCAGUGGGAAUCAGACCUGAACGCUGCUCAAGCUUCCUUCUGCCUUGGUUCAGGCUGUCUGGCACCCAACAUGGAGAGGAGCGGACUGGCCACCAGCCCAGAGUCAUCAUUUCUCUGCUUCGCUUCUCUUCCUGUGGCACUGGGGACAUACGGCAAGUGACAGGGCUGAGGAGAAGCAGGGCCCAGAACAAGAAACAUUUGCACUUGUUCCUACCUGCUGUCUCAAGUGACAAGCAUGAAGACAAGGGAUUUGAAGGCUCAGAAAAUGAAGUGGAGCAGUAUAAAGUUGACACGGGGCCGACCCAGUAGGUCUGUCCUCUUCGUGAUCAGCAUGGCAAUUGCAGCCGUCUCACAUCUCCCUGCUCCUGGAGAUUGGAUGUGGACAUAAAAUGCCUGAAAAUACUAAGCCAAGAACAGAUUUCUUUUUCCUGAUAAAAAUCCAGAGGCCUUGGAGAAGUACUUGGGUGAUUCAGGCUGGGCUGUGGGAUUUCAGUACUGUGGAUAACCAACCAGACUGUGGGAAAAGCCGUGGCCAGAAACACCCAAAUCUGCCAGCUCACCCCAGUGAGGAGCAUUUAUUGUGGCCAGUGAAGCAAGCAUAUGGCAACCACUGCCUCAGUCGAAUGCCUGGGCAAUGCCGAGGCAGUGCCCAGCAGCCCAGCACAGCCGGUGUAAGAACACCAGCAGCCUUCUGACUCUGGUUAAUGGUCCCCCUUGGUGGGUUCCUGCCCCAUCCGAGCAAGGAGGAAGAUCUCUGCCAGCAGUUGACCACAUCCUGAAGCAAGCGUUAAACUUGACGACAUGUUGGCCAGUAAUACAAAGACAAAUACAAAAUUAUUAUUUUAAUAAUUAAAAAAUUAAAGUUGGGGCAGGACAAUACCUUUUGCCCAGACUGCACUCAAAGACGUUUUCUCUACAUCUGUAAUGGCCUCCUAUUUCCAAUCUGUGCAAUUUUGGCCUUGAAAAUGGUGUCAUUAAAUGUUAUCUUAUCUCUCCUCUGUGCAUGGUUCAUGGGUCUGAGGCUGUGAUAGCUCAGGGAGAGCCGUGCCAUUGUGAGCUGCUUUGAAGGCAUUUGUAGGGCAGAUAUAUUCCUAUCUGCAAAGCAGGCCUGGGAGCAUAAGACACCUAUUGUCUCAGCCACCGAGGGAGGCCAGGUGCUCUGCAUAAAGCCUUCAGCACGCUAAGGAGAUAAAUGCUGACUCUUCUGAGCCACCCACACUUUCUGUCCUCUCUUUUGCAUAACUGACAUCAGUGUUUGCUGGUGUCACUGAACACACAUAUCCUGGUGUCUAUGAGCAACCUGCUCUAGUGGGAGGUGUCCCUGCCCAUAGCAGGGGGGUGGAAUUGGAUGGUCUUUAAGGUCCCUUCCAACCCAAGACAUUUCAUGGUUUUAUCCAGAUGUGCCUGCCAUUCGGAGCCAUCAAUCUGCACUUGUUCUUGCAGGAGCCCUUCCAGCUCAUAAAUCCAUGUGUCUCCCAUGUGUCUCCCUGAGCAUGGAGGGGGUCACUCAGUGUGAAUUGUUCUUGACCAAUUCUGUCACCCAAACUUGCAUUGGUCUGGGAGUGAGUCACUCGGAUUCAACGAAAGAAGUAACUUUAUCUCAGACUUAACGCGAGUCCACAUUAAUCACUCUGUAAGGGAAAUGUGCGCCCAUAAAGAAGGGAGCUAGAAUGGAGGUGAUUUGCAAGCUGGCAAGGAGUGUUUGGUUUGCAUCCAUUUGCAUUUAGCCAAGUAAAUAUCUUGAGCUCCUGGUGUGCAAAGACCCUGUCUUGUACGGGAGAGAGAAUGAGUUGCGGGGCUCCAGCUCUUCUCCAGAGGCUGGCCGCACUGCCAGGCUUGCUCAGUCCUGCAGUACGCUGUUUUUUUUGGGUGUGUUUUGCUGUCAGCUGUAACUGAUAUGAGCCCAUAGAAGAAUGAGCCGUUCAUUUCACGAUCAGCUGUGAAAGGAAUUGUUGGCUCCGUGUUAUCAGCUCAAAGGAAAUAUCUUCUCCAGAGAACGCACUUCCACAAAUCGGGCACCUUGGCAAGAGACCAUUGGGAGACUGAAGUUUCAUUUUGUGGUAACUAAACACCUCAAGGAAGCUGUGACUGGGGAUCUGAAUGAUUUCUUUAUUCGUUCUGGAGCGGAACCCGGCCGUAUACGGGUUUUUAAGGGGUCACAAUUUUGUGCACACUCACCGUGCAUUUUCAGAGUAUUUAUUUCAGCCACACUCGGUGAACCAGGAGGGUCGCCUGCCUCAGUGCCAAAGGUCAGAAAAUGGAAAUGUGAUCUGACAGAGGCACGUAGACAAAGGCAUGCACUAUGUGGAACGGUGUUUUGGGGGAGCAGAUAGCUGCCGACAUAGUGUUUAACCGCAUCAGGCUUAGGGAGCCUCCCAGAGACUGAGCCUCCCCAGAAUGCAGAGGUGACAACGUGGUAUUUAGCAGCAUAAAGACCUUUACAGCAGAGCUAAAGGAUUUAUUAAUAUCAGCCUCCAUCACAGAGGAUGUUGGGAAAUAUUGGCCCCAGACGUAUUUUUUCAGGCUCGAAUCAUAGACAGUGAGAUGCUAAAACAUGAGGUGUUGAACAAGCUAAAGAGCCACAAGCUGCUAGGAAUGAAAGGUAUAUACCCCAAGAGAACUGGAGGAAUUUAAGAAAAAAGGAGCUGAGUUGCUAACAAAAAUAUGCUGCCUCUCAUUAUGUCAUAUCUGCAUUUUAGAAAGAGCUGAUCCUGGGGCUGGGGGACCAGCGAGACCUUCUCUAAUGCCAGCUGCAAUGGUUGAAACUAAUCAAAACCAGAAGUUUAGUUGGAUGAAUAUGACAGAAUGGGGACGGCUUGGUCUGGAUUCACUGAAGAAAAAUUGUCUCUCUAAUCUACUAGAGUUUUUUUAGUACAUUGCCAGAAGAGUGGAUGUGACUUUCUUGGACUUUCAAGAAGCAUAGGACAAAGUCCUUCACAGGAGGUAAUCUGGGAAACAGAAUAGCCCUAAUAUAUGAGACUGAAUAUUGUCACGGACUAGAAAUUGGCUAAGAGAAAACAGAAUAAAGGAUCGGUUGCAACAAGG
This 3336-nucleotide long non-coding RNA is filed under the name Anas platyrhynchos platyrhynchos (common mallard). RNAcentral's name for it is "lncRNA (ENSAPLG00000023988.1)". Lineage: Eukaryota; Metazoa; Chordata; Aves; Anseriformes; Anatidae. The record is from RNAcentral.